ACCGCCUGUAGAACAGUGUUUAAUGUUGUGUCCCCUCAGUAUCGGUUUAAUAUCUGAUCUGUCCCCUAUCUGGGGACCAUUUAUUAAAUGGAUUUUUUUUUUAAACGGGGGCUAAUUUUGAAGCUUGCUUCCGUCCCUCUAUGCAUUGACCUGAUAUGGCAGUAUCUUCGGAUACAGUGCACAAAAA
Molecule: small nuclear RNA, 187 nt
Organism: Hyla sarda
Lineage: Eukaryota; Metazoa; Chordata; Amphibia; Anura; Hylidae
Product: U2 spliceosomal RNA
Exons: 1
Source: RefSeq, a predicted model, not a curated record